AGGCUCCAUUUCCUGGGAGGUGGGCUCAGCCUACCCCACUUCCCCUCAUCAGAGCCUAGAACAAAGAGGCCAGGCACCCUCCACCUCCUCGUGGGAGAGGUGUUUGAGGAAGGCGCCUCACCCAGGUGGGCCUGGCCCCACAGUU
Meriones unguiculatus (Mongolian gerbil) is the source of this 145-nucleotide non-coding RNA. NCBI's taxonomy places the organism in Eukaryota, Metazoa, Chordata, Mammalia, Rodentia, Muridae. The record is from Ensembl.